RNAcentral lists this small nuclear RNA (99 nucleotides) under Nicotiana attenuata. Lineage: Eukaryota; Viridiplantae; Streptophyta; Magnoliopsida; Solanales; Solanaceae. The record is from RNAcentral.
AGUCAACCAAUGCACUCAAAUAUAAAACUAGAACGGAGAAGAUUAGCAUGGCCCCCGGGCAACAACGACUAUACAAGUCGAGAAAUGCUCCAAUUAUAA